Molecule: RNA transcript, 508 nt
Organism: Herpailurus yagouaroundi (jaguarundi)
Lineage: Eukaryota; Metazoa; Chordata; Mammalia; Carnivora; Felidae
Gene name: N-alpha-acetyltransferase 10-like
Exons: 3
Source: RefSeq, a predicted model, not a curated record
CCCGAGGGGUCCGGCCGAGCCCCGGGCCGGCAGCCCCGCGUGCCUGCGGCCGCAGGGCACGGACAGGUGAAGGCCACCAUCCCGGUGGGGUGGACCUACCGGAACAGGGAUGUCGGGGCUCCGUCGGAUGGUGUCCCGGAGCCUCCCGGCGCGCAGCUCCAUUCCCGGAACAGAUGAUCUUUGCACAGCGGCAGUGCGCCGCGCCUGUGCAGACAGAUAGUCGCGGCGCCCGCCCAGCCCUGCGGGGGUGGGGGUCGCCCCUGGCCUUCCCGCCCCGCAGCCGGAGGACCUGAUGAACAUGCAGCACUGCAAUCUCUUGUGCCUGCCCGAGAACUACCAGAUGAAGUACUACUUCUACCACGGCCUCUCCUGGCCCCAGCUCUCUUACAUCGCAGAGGAUGAGAACGGGAAGAUUGUGGGGUACGUCCUCGCCAAAAUGUGAGUCACGAAGGAAGGAGACAGAAACCGUAUGCCAGAGUUGGGGGUGGGGCGUGGAUUUGGGGGGUGG